GUGUGGUGAAAUGUUGGGUUAAGUCCCACAACGAGCGCAACCCUUAUCCUUUGUUGCCAACGGUUAGGCCGGGAACUCAAAGGAGACUGCCAGUGAUAAACUGGAGGAAGGUGGGGAUGACGUCAAGUCAUCAUGGCCCUUACGAGUAGGGCUACACACGUGCUACAAUGGCGCAUACAAAGAGAAGCGACCUCGCGAGAGCAAGCGGACCUCAUAAAGUGCGUCGUAGUCCGGAUUGGAGUCUGCAACUCGACUCCAUGAAGUCGGAAUCGCUAGUAAUCGUGGAUCAGAAUGCCACGGUGAAUACGUUCCCGGGCCUUGUACACACCGCCCGUCACAGGCAUGGGAGUGGGUUGCAAAAGAAGUAGGUAGCUUAACCUUCGGGAGGGCGCUUACCCACUU
This 402-nucleotide ribosomal RNA is filed under the name Enterobacter sp. RNAcentral's name for it is "bacterial SSU rRNA". It matches the Rfam family "Bacterial small subunit ribosomal RNA", at positions 1062 to 1463 of the family's 1533-position model. Lineage: Bacteria; Pseudomonadati; Pseudomonadota; Gammaproteobacteria; Enterobacterales; Enterobacteriaceae. The record is from RNAcentral.